This 189-nucleotide ribosomal RNA is filed under the name uncultured bacterium. RNAcentral's name for it is "partial 16S ribosomal RNA". It matches the Rfam family "Bacterial small subunit ribosomal RNA", at positions 338 to 524 of the family's 1533-position model. The record is from RNAcentral.
CCUACGGGAGGCAGCAGUGAGGAAUAUUGGACAAUGGGUGAGAGCCUGAUCCAGCCAUCCCGCGUGAAGGAUGACGGUCCUAUGGAUUGUAAACUUCUUUUAUAUGGGGAUAAACCUACUUACGUGUAAGUAGCUGAAGGUACCAUAUGAAUAAGCACCGGCUAACUACGUGCCAGCAGCCGCGGUAAU